UGGCUGUAACUGACGCUGAGGAGCGAAAGCAUGGGAGCGAACAGGAUUAGAUACCCUGUAGGUCCAUGCCGUAAACGUUGGGCACUAGGUGUGGGGACCAUUCCACGGUUUCCGCGCCGCAGCUAACGCAUAAGUGCCCCGCCUGGGGAGUACGGCCGCAAGGUAAAACUCAAAGGAAUUGACGGGGGCCCGCACAAGCGGCGGAGCAUGCGGAUUAAUUCGAUGCAACGCGAAGAACCUUACCAAGGCUUGACAUGUUCUCGAUCGCCGUAGAGAUACGUUUCCCCUUUGGGGCGGGUUCACAGGUGGUGCAUGGUUGUCGUCAGCUCGUGUCGUGAGAUGUUGGGUUAAGUCCCGCAACGAGCGCAACCCUCGUUCCAUGUUGCCAGCACGUAAUGGUGGGGACUCAUGGGAGACUGCCGGGGUCAACUCGGAGGAAGGUGAGGACGACGUCAAAUCAUCAUGCCCCUUAUGUCUUGGGCUUCACGCAUGCUACAAUGGCCGGUACAAUGGGUUGCGAUACUGUGAGGUGGAGCUAAUCCCAAAAAGCCGGUCUCAGUUCGGAUUGGGGUCUGCAACUCGACCCCAUGAAGUCGGAGUCGCUAGUAAUCGCAGAUCAGCAACGCUGCGGUGAAUACGUUCCCGGGCCUUGUACACACCGCCCGUCAAGUCACGAAAGUUGGUAACACCCGAAGCCGGUGGCCUAACCCUUCUGGGUUG
Molecule: ribosomal RNA, 720 nt
Filed under: Micrococcaceae bacterium NASA2-1
Lineage: Bacteria; Bacillati; Actinomycetota; Actinomycetes; Micrococcales; Micrococcaceae
Description: bacterial SSU rRNA
Rfam family: Bacterial small subunit ribosomal RNA
Source: RNAcentral